This is a long non-coding RNA of Cinclus cinclus, 500 nucleotides long. RefSeq lists it as uncharacterized. NCBI's taxonomy places the organism in Eukaryota, Metazoa, Chordata, Aves, Passeriformes, Cinclidae. The transcript has 5 exons. The record is from RefSeq and is a predicted model, not a curated record.
CAACUUCUGCAUCAGUGAUGCAUUUUCCAUAUGAAGUCAUGAAGAAUACAACUACAUCAAGAGAUAACAGUUCUUAAAUAAAGCACAAAGAAUUGCAGAUUUUUGUACGCACAGAGUGUCCAGAGGAGCGAGGUCAGUCCUCACCUUCCACCGUGCAACUGUUAGGAGCACAUUUUGUAGAGAGCACCUUAAAACAGCAAAAUCCUAAAGCCUGCUCUCCAGGCCAGGAGAGGGAUACAAAGUUGCAUCCAAAGUUUUAUUCCAGUGCAACAACACUAACUUAUAUCAGCAUGUUAUAAGACUUCUGAGACUGAUGGCAGGAUCAUUAAAAUAAUUUGAAUGGAGAGUAGUUCCUCACAGGGGGAGCCAGAAAUAACCUUUUUCUCUGUCAACGUGUAAGGCAAAGAUCAGUUAAUCUACAAGCAGCAGCCUGACCCAGAGACCACGAAAGAGCUGACUUUCAAGCACAUUUUCUACGUAAGGAAUCUUGAGCUUGGACA